Molecule: long non-coding RNA, 218 nt
Filed under: Arabidopsis lyrata
Lineage: Eukaryota; Viridiplantae; Streptophyta; Magnoliopsida; Brassicales; Brassicaceae
Description: long non-coding RNA (ALYR_LNC000338)
Source: RNAcentral
UUCACAUCGAUAUCCGAAUGCUUGAACCGACUAAUCCUUUCAUCAAUGGAGAGAGUGCAUUCUGCAUUGAGUAGGGAAGUGACUGUUAAACCUCCGACAUGGAUACGAAAAGUUUCUGCAGUAAAAAGCACAAGGAUCAUCAAACUCGAUAAAUCCAGAACCACAAAAUCUCCACCACACUUGAAACUGAUUUAAAGAAAUAUGCAUCACCAUUCGAG